AAAUACAUAGCUUAGCGGCCAAAGCCCUGGUUUCAUAAGCCAGCGAUCAACAGUUCGAGUCUGUUUGUAUUUA
This 73-nucleotide transfer RNA is filed under the name Polytomella parva. Its description in RNAcentral is "tRNA-Met". It matches the Rfam family "tRNA". From Rfam's summary of the family: Transfer RNA (tRNA) molecules are approximately 80 nucleotides in length. Their secondary structure includes four short double-helical elements and three loops (D, anti-codon, and T loops). Further hydrogen bonds mediate the characteristic L-shaped molecular structure. tRNAs have two regions of fundamental functional importance: the anti-codon, which is responsible for specific mRNA codon recognition, and the 3' end, to which the tRNAs corresponding amino acid is attached (by aminoacyl-tRNA synthetases). tRNAs cope with the degeneracy of the genetic code in two manners: having more than one tRNA (with a specific anti-codon) for a particular amino acid; and 'wobble' base-pairing, i.e. permitting non-standard base-pairing at the 3rd anti-codon position. RNAcentral also lists the same sequence under 4 other names. Lineage: Eukaryota; Viridiplantae; Chlorophyta; Chlorophyceae; Chlamydomonadales; Chlamydomonadaceae. The record is from RNAcentral.